AGAAGGAAAGGAUGCUUACCAUGUCACGUCGUACGAUGAUCCCAGCUUGCUGGGGGAUUAGUGGCGAACGGGUGAGUAACACGUGAGUAACCUGCCCUUAACUCUGGGAUAAGCCUGGGAAACUGGGUCUAAUACCGGAUAUGACUCCUCAUCGCAUGGUGGGGGGUGGAAAGCUUUAUUGGGGUUUUGGAGGGACUCGCGGCCUAUCAGUUGGUGGGGGAGGAAAGGGUUCACCAAGGCGACAACGGGAAGCCGGCCUGAAAGGGGGCCCGGCCACCCGGGAACUGAAACCCGGCCCAAACUCCUACGGAAGGAAGAAGGGGGGAAUUUUGCACAAGGGGGGCAAGCCUGAUGCAGCGACGCCGCGGGAGGAAUGACGGCCUUCGGGUGGAAAACCUCUUUCAGAAGGAAAAAAGCGAAAGGGACGGACCCUGCAAAAAAAGCGCCGGUUAAUUACGGGCCAGCAGCCGCGGAAAUACGAAGGGCGCAAGGGUUAUCCGAAAUUAUGGGGGGUAAAAAGUUCGAAGGGGGUUGGUCGCGCCUGCCGGGAAAGUCCGGGGUUCACCUCCGAAUCUGCGGGGGGAACGGGAAAAUUAAAGGGAGGAAGGGAAAAUUGAAAUUCCUGGGGAAGCGGGGAAAUGCGCAAUAAUCAGGAGGAACACCAAUGGCGAAGGAAGGUCUCUGGCAAUUAAUUGACGUUGAGGAGCGAAAGAUUGGGAAGCAACCAGAAUAAGAUACCCGGGAAGUCCAUGCCGUAAACGUCGGGACUUAGGUGUGGGGGAAAUUCCACGUUUCCCGCGCCGAAGCUAACGCAUAAGUGCCCCGCUUGGCGGAGCACGGCCGCAAGGCUAAAAUUAAAGGAAUUGACGCGGGCCCG
Molecule: ribosomal RNA, 877 nt
Filed under: Micrococcaceae bacterium
Lineage: Bacteria; Bacillati; Actinomycetota; Actinomycetes; Micrococcales; Micrococcaceae
Description: partial 16S ribosomal RNA
Rfam family: Bacterial small subunit ribosomal RNA
Source: RNAcentral